UGGGGAAUAUUGCACAAUGGGCGGAAGCCUGAUGCAGCAACGCCGCGUGAGGGAUGACGACCUUCGGGUUGUAAACCUCUUUUAGCAGGGAAGAAGCGAGAGUGACGGUACCUGCAGAAAAAGCGCCGGUUAACUACGUGCCAGCAGCCGCGGUAAUACGUAGGGCGCAAGCGUUAUCCGGAAUUAUUGGGCGUAAAGAGCUCGUAGGCGGUCUGUCGCGUCUGCUGUGAAAACCCGAGGCUCAACCUCGGGCCUGCAGUGGGUACGGGCAGACUAGAGUGCGGUAGGGGAGAUUGGAAUUCCUGGUGUAGCGGUGGAAUGCGCAGAUAUCAGGAGGAACACCGAUGGCGAAGGCAGAUCUCUGGGCCGUAACUGACGCUGAGGAGCGAAAGGGUGGGGAGCAAACAGGCUUAGAUACCCUGGUAGUCCACCCGUAAACGUUGGGAACUAGUUGUGGGACCUUUCCACGGUCUCCGUGACGCAGCUAACGCAUUAAGUUCCCCGCCUGGGGAGUACGGCCGCAAGGCUAAACUC
This 534-nucleotide ribosomal RNA is filed under the name uncultured bacterium. Its description in RNAcentral is "partial 16S ribosomal RNA". It matches the Rfam family "Bacterial small subunit ribosomal RNA", at positions 355 to 902 of the family's 1533-position model. The record is from RNAcentral.